This 496-nucleotide ribosomal RNA is filed under the name uncultured bacterium. RNAcentral's name for it is "partial 16S ribosomal RNA". It matches the Rfam family "Bacterial small subunit ribosomal RNA", at positions 29 to 507 of the family's 1533-position model. The record is from RNAcentral.
AUGCACGCUGGCGGCGUGCCUCAUACAUGCAAGUCGAGCGCACAGAUGAGGAGCUUGCUCCUCUGACGUUAGCGGCGGACGGGUGAGUAACACGUGGAUAACCUACCUAUAAGACUGGGAUAACUUCGGGAAACCGGAGCUAAUACCGGAUAAUAUAUUGAACCGCAUGGUUCAAUAGUGAAAGACGGUUUUGCUGUCACUUAUAGAUGGAUCCGCGCCGCAUUAGCUAGUUGGUAAGGUAACGGCUUACCAAGGCAACGAUGCGUAGCCGACCUGAGAGGGUGAUCGGCCACACUGGAACUGAGACACGGUCCAGACUCCUACGGGAGGCAGCAGUAGGGAAUCUUCCGCAAUGGGCGAAAGCCUGACGGAGCAACGCCGCGUGAGUGAUGAAGGUCUUCGGAUCGUAAAACUCUGUUAUUAGGGAAGAACAAAUGUGUAAGUAACUAUGCACGUCUUGACGGUACCUAAUCAGAAAGCCACGGCUAACUACGUG